ACGGCUCAGUAACACGUGGACAACCUACCCUUAGGACGGGGAUAAACCCGGGAAACUGGGUAUAAUACCCGAUAGUCCUCGAAUGCUGGAAUGCAUCGAGUACUAAAGCUCCGGCGCCUAAGGAUGGGUCUGCGGCCUAUCAGGUAGUAGUGGGUGUAGCGUACCUACUAGCCUACGACGGGUACGGGUUGUGAGAGCAAGAGCCCGGAGAUGGAUUCUGAGACACGAAUCCAGGCCCUACGGGGUGCAGCAGGCGCGAAAACUUUACAAUGCUGGAAACAGCGAUAAGGGGACCUCGAGUGCCAGGUUACAAAUCUGGCUGUCGUGAUGCCUAAAAAGCAUUGCAUAGCAAGGGCCGGGCAAGACCGGUGCCAGCCGCCGCGGUAACACCGGCGGCUCGAGUGGUAACCGUUAUUAUUGGGUCUAAAGGGUCUGUAGCCGGCCGGAUAAGUCUCUUGGGAAAUCUGGCAGCUUAACUGUCAGGCUUUCAGGAGAUACUGUCUGGCUCGAGGCCGGGAGAGGUGAGAGGUACUUCAGGGGUAGGGGUGAAAUCUUGUAAUCCUUGAAGGACCACCAGUGGCGAAGGCGUCUCACCAGAACGGACCUGACGGCAAGGGACGAAAGCUAGGGGCACGAACCGGAUUAGAUACCCGGGUAGUCCUAGCCGUAAACGAUACUCGCUAGGUGUCGGCCACGGUGCGACCGUUGUCGGUGCCGUAGGGAAGCCGUGAAGCGAGCCACCUGGAAGUACG
Molecule: ribosomal RNA, 752 nt
Filed under: uncultured Methanotrichaceae archaeon
Lineage: Archaea; Methanobacteriati; Methanobacteriota; Methanomicrobia; Methanotrichales; Methanotrichaceae
Description: bacterial SSU rRNA
Rfam family: Archaeal small subunit ribosomal RNA
Source: RNAcentral